Molecule: ribosomal RNA, 324 nt
Filed under: Triticum aestivum (bread wheat)
Lineage: Eukaryota; Viridiplantae; Streptophyta; Magnoliopsida; Poales; Poaceae
Description: partial small subunit ribosomal RNA
Source: RNAcentral
AUGGGACAAAAAAUAAAUCCACUCGGUUUCAGACUUGGUACAACCCAAAAACACCAUUCCUUUUGGUUCGCACAACCAAAAAAUUAUUCUGAAGGUCUACAGGAAGAUAAAAAAAUAAGGGAUUGUAUCAAGAACUAUAUACAAAAGAAUAGGAAAAAGGGCUCGAAUAGAAAAAUAGAGUUCAAGUUCCGAAGUAAUUACACAUAUAGAAAUCCAAAAAGAAAUCGAUACGAUCCACGUCAUAAUCCAUAUUGGAUUCCCAAAUUUAUUAAAGAAAAAAGGAGCAACCGAAGAAUUAGAGAAAGAUCUACAAAAGGAAAUUAA